RNAcentral lists this ribosomal RNA (1232 nucleotides) under Lactiplantibacillus pentosus. RNAcentral describes it as "bacterial SSU rRNA". It matches the Rfam family "Bacterial small subunit ribosomal RNA", at positions 36 to 1222 of the family's 1533-position model. Lineage: Bacteria; Bacillati; Bacillota; Bacilli; Lactobacillales; Lactobacillaceae. The record is from RNAcentral.
CAAGGGAACCCGCAAAUACAUGCAAGUCGAACGAACUCUGGUAUUGAUUGGUGCUUGCAUCAUGAUUUACAUUUGAGUGAGUGGCGAACUGGUGAGUAACACGUGGGAAACCUGCCCAGAAGCGGGGGAUAACACCUGGAAACAGAUGCUAAUACCGCAUAACAACUUGGACCGCAUGGUCCGAGUUUGAAAGAUGGCUUCGGCUAUCACUUUUGGAUGGUCCCGCGGCGUAUUAGCUAGAUGGUGGGGUAACGGCUCACCAUGGCAAUGAUACGUAGCCGACCUGAGAGGGUAAUCGGCCACAUUGGGACUGAGACACGGCCCAAACUCCUACGGGAGGCAGCAGUAGGGAAUCUUCCACAAUGGACGAAAGUCUGAUGGAGCAACGCCGCGUGAGUGAAGAAGGGUUUCGGCUCGUAAAACUCUGUUGUUAAAGAAGAACAUAUCUGAGAGUAACUGUUCAGGUAUUGACGGUAUUUAACCAGAAAGCCACGGCUAACUACGUGCCAGCAGCCGCGGUAAUACGUAGGUGGCAAGCGUUGUCCGGAUUUAUUGGGCGUAAAGCGAGCGCAGGCGGUUUUUUAAGUCUGAUGUGAAAGCCUUCGGCUCAACCGAAGAAGUGCAUCGGAAACUGGGAAACUUGAGUGCAGAAGAGGACAGUGGAACUCCAUGUGUAGCGGUGAAAUGCGUAGAUAUAUGGAAGAACACCAGUGGCGAAGGCGGCUGUCUGGUCUGUAACUGACGCUGAGGCUCGAAAGUAUGGGUAGCAAACAGGAUUAGAUACCCUGGUAGUCCAUACCGUAAACGAUGAAUGCUAAGUGUUGGAGGGUUUCCGCCCUUCAGUGCUGCAGCUAACGCAUUAAGCAUUCCGCCUGGGGAGUACGGCCGCAAGGCUGAAACUCAAAGGAAUUGACGGGGGCCCGCACAAGCGGUGGAGCAUGUGGUUUAAUUCGAAGCUACGCGAAGAACCUUACCAGGUCUUGACAUACUAUGCAAAUCUAAGAGAUUAGACGUUCCCUUCGGGGACAUGGAUACAGGUGGUGCAUGGUUGUCCCCACCUCCUGUCCUGAGAAGUUGGGGUAAAUCCCCCCACGAAGGCCAACCCUUUUUAUUAAUUUGCCACCAUUUAAAUUGGGGCACCCUGGUGGAAAAUGCGCGGGAACAAACCCCAAGGAAAGGGGGGGGAUGAAGUCCAAAUAAUUUUUGCCCCCUUAUAACCGGGGGUUAACACG